RNAcentral lists this ribosomal RNA (476 nucleotides) under uncultured bacterium. RNAcentral describes it as "bacterial SSU rRNA". It matches the Rfam family "Bacterial small subunit ribosomal RNA", at positions 21 to 507 of the family's 1533-position model. The record is from RNAcentral.
GGCUCAGGAUGAACGCUGGCGGCGUGCUUAACACAUGCAAGUCGAACGAAGAUGCCGGAGUGCUUGCACUUUGGCAGACUGAGUGGCGGACGGGUGAGUAACGCGUGGGUAACCUGCCUUAUACAGGGGGAUAACGGUUGGAAACGACUGCUAAUACCGCAUAAGCGCACGGUAUCGCAUGAUACAGUGUGAAAAACUCCGGUGGUGUGAGAUGGACCCGCGUCUGAUUAGCUAGUUGGCAGGGCAACGGCCUACCAAGGCGACGAUCAGUAGCCGACCUGAGAGGGUGACCGGCCACAUUGGGACUGAGACACGGCCCAGACUCCUACGGGAGGCAGCAGUGGGGAAUAUUGCACAAUGGAGGAAACUCUGAUGCAGCGACGCCGCGUGAGUGAAGAAGUAAUUCGUUAUGUAAAGCUCUAUCAGCAGGGAAGAUAGUGACGGUACCUGACUAAGAAGCUCCGGCUAAAUACGUG